AGAGUUUGAUCCUGGCUCAGGAUGAACGCUGGCGGUAUGCCUAACACAUGCAAGUCGUACGAGAGUUUUUAACUCUAGUGGCGGACGGGUGAGUAACACGUGAGAAUUUGCCUUUAGGAGGGGGAUAACAAUUGGAAACGAAUGCUAAUACCCCAUAUGCUUUCGAGUGAAAUGGAUUUAUAUUUAUCCGCCUAGAGAGAAGCUCGCGGCUGAUUAGCUUGUUGGUAAGGUAAGAGCUUACCAAGGCGACGAUCAGUAUCUGGUUUGAGAGGACGAUCAGACACACUGGAACUGAGACACGGUCCAGACUCCUACGGGAGGCAGCAGUGGGGAAUUUUCCGCAAUGGGCGAAAGCCUGACGGAGCAAUACCGCGUGAGGGAAGACUGCCUAUGGGUUGUAAACCUCUUUUUUCAGGGAGGAACAAAAUGACGUGUACCUGAAGAAUAAGCAUCGGCUAACUCCGUGCAGCAGCCGCGGUAAGACGGAGGAUGCAAGUGUUAUCCGGAAUCACUGGGCGUAGAGCGUCUGUAGGUGGUUUAAUAAGUCAACUGUUAAAUCUUGUUGCUCAACUUCAAAAUCGCAGUCGAAACUAUUAGACUAGAGUAUAGUAGAGGUAAAGGGAAUUUCCAGUGGAGCGGUGAAAUGCGUAGAUAUUGGAAAGAACACCGAUGGCGAAAGCACUUUACUGGGCUAUUACUAACACUCAGAGACGAAAGCUAGGGUAGCAAAUGGGAUUAGAUACCCCAGUAGUCCUAGCCGUAAACUAUGGAUACUAGAUGUUGAACAGAUCGACCUGUGCAGUAUCAAAGCUAACGCGUUAAGUAUCCCGCCUGGGAAGUAUGCUCGCAAGAGUGAAACUUUAAGGAAUUGACGG
RNAcentral lists this ribosomal RNA (875 nucleotides) under uncultured marine bacterium. RNAcentral describes it as "bacterial SSU rRNA". It matches the Rfam family "Bacterial small subunit ribosomal RNA", at positions 8 to 916 of the family's 1533-position model. The record is from RNAcentral.